UGGGGAAUAUUGCACAAUGGGCGAAAGCCUGAUGCAGCAACGCCGCGUGCGGGAUGACGGCCUUCGGGUUGUAAACCGCUUUCAGUUCCGACGAAGCGCAAGUGACGGUAGGAACAGAAGAAGGACCGGCCAACUACGUGCCAGCAGCCGCGGUGAUACGUAGGGUCCGAGCGUUGUCCGGAAUUAUUGGGCGUAAAGGGCUUGUAGGCGGUCUGUCACGUCGGAAGUGAAAACUCAGAGCUCAACUCUGAGCCUGCUUCCGAUACGGGCAGACUAGAGGGAUGCAGGGGAGAACGGAAUUCCUGGUGGAGCGGUGGAAUGCGCAGAUAUCAGGAGGAACACCGGUGGCGAAGGCGGUUCUCUGGGCAUUACCUGACGCUGAGAAGCGAAAGCGUGGGGAGCAAACA
RNAcentral lists this ribosomal RNA (407 nucleotides) under uncultured Microlunatus sp. Its description in RNAcentral is "bacterial SSU rRNA". It matches the Rfam family "Bacterial small subunit ribosomal RNA", at positions 355 to 774 of the family's 1533-position model. The record is from RNAcentral. Lineage: Bacteria; Bacillati; Actinomycetota; Actinomycetes; Propionibacteriales; Propionibacteriaceae. RNAcentral also lists the same sequence under 1 other name.